RNAcentral lists this ribosomal RNA (406 nucleotides) under uncultured bacterium. RNAcentral's name for it is "bacterial SSU rRNA". It matches the Rfam family "Bacterial small subunit ribosomal RNA", at positions 87 to 507 of the family's 1533-position model. The record is from RNAcentral.
AGCAGAGAGUGGCGAACGGGUGAGUAACACGUGGGCAACCUACCCCUCACACUGGGAUAACCUCGGGAAACCGGGGCUAAUACCGGAUAUUCACGACCUCGGGCAUCCGAGGACGUGGAAAGGAUUCUGGUGAGGGAUGGGCCCGCGGCCUAUCAGUUUGUUGGUGGGGUAAUGGCCUACCAAGACGACGACGGGUAGCCGGCCUGAGAGGGCGACCGGCCACACUGGGACUGAGACACGGCCCAGACUCCUACGGGAGGCUGCAGUGGGGAAUAUUGCGCAAUGGACGAAAGUCUGACGCAGCAACGCCGCGUGAGGGAUGAAGUACAUCGAGAUGUAAACCUCUUUCAGUAGGGACGAAGCGAAAGUGACGGUACCUGCAAAAGAAGCGCCGGCUAACUACGUG